RNAcentral lists this ribosomal RNA (253 nucleotides) under uncultured bacterium. RNAcentral's name for it is "partial 16S ribosomal RNA". It matches the Rfam family "Bacterial small subunit ribosomal RNA", at positions 524 to 776 of the family's 1533-position model. The record is from RNAcentral.
GACGAACCGUGCGAACGUUAUUCGGAAUCAUUGGGCGUAAAGCGCGUGUAGGCGGCCCGGUAAGUCCGCUGUGAAAGUCCAGGGCUCAACCCUGGGAUGCCGGUGGAUACUGUCGGGCUCGAGUCCGGAAGAGGCGAGUGGAAUUCCUGGUGUAGCGGUGAAAUGCGCAGAUAUCAGGAGGAACACCAAUGGCGAAGGCAGCUCGCUGGGACGUGACUGACGCUGAGACGCGAAAGCGUGGGGAGCAAACAGG